ACCAAGCCAUUCUUCACUGAUUUAGCUAACUAAGCAGGGUCAGCUCUGGUUAAUACUUGGAAGGGGGACCACCUUGGAAAUUCAGGCCUAUAGGUU
This 96-nucleotide ribosomal RNA is filed under the name Notechis scutatus (mainland tiger snake). Lineage: Eukaryota; Metazoa; Chordata; Lepidosauria; Squamata; Elapidae. The record is from RNAcentral.